AAUGCCCUGAGGAGAUUCAAAUUGUCUGAUGCCCUGGGUCCCAGCCAAGAUCAGCUCCAGUUGGGAUCUCUGGUCCUGAGCGUGCACACCAAAAGAUUCAGCAGCAGAUGAGAGGAGGAUGCUGAGGCCAUGCAGCGGGGUCCCCUGCAGCCACCGUGAUUGGUUCCUGGCAUCAAAUAAGACUCUGGUGACUGGCAGAAGUGAUGGAUGGCAGGAUCAAGAAUAAAUCUGGACAUGUGAGAGCUGAUGGGUUCUCUUUAGGGUCUUCGGCUGGAGGCUCUCGUCCCUG
Long non-coding RNA from Artibeus jamaicensis (Jamaican fruit-eating bat), 289 nucleotides. RefSeq lists it as uncharacterized. Lineage: Eukaryota; Metazoa; Chordata; Mammalia; Chiroptera; Phyllostomidae. The record is from RefSeq and is a predicted model, not a curated record. The transcript is spliced from 3 exons.